UUGAUCCUACGGGAGGCAGCAGUGGGGAAUAUUGGGCAAUGGGCGCAAGCCUGACCCAGCAACGCCGCGUGAAGGAAGAAGGCUUUCGGGUUGUAAACUUCUUUUAAGAGGGAAGAGCAGAAGACGGUACCUCUUGAAUAAGCCACGGCUAACUACGUGCCAGCGGCCGCGGUAAUACGUAGGUGGCAAGCGUUGUCCGGAUUUACUGGGUGUAAAGGGCGUGCAGCCGGGCUGACAAGUCAGAUGUGAAAUCCCGCGGCUCAACCGCGGAACUGCAUUUGAAACUGUUAGUCUUGAGUACAGGG
This 305-nucleotide ribosomal RNA is filed under the name uncultured bacterium. RNAcentral's name for it is "bacterial SSU rRNA". It matches the Rfam family "Bacterial small subunit ribosomal RNA", at positions 333 to 653 of the family's 1533-position model. The record is from RNAcentral.